UCGUAAUUUCACACUGUGUACUAGGCAUAAAGGGAAUUCUAGUAAUUUGUUUAUCCAUAGUAAGAAUCGCGUGCUGACAACAUGUGAUACGUGAAAGUCUGCUACGAUACUAUCCCACAUUUAUAAUUCCUGUGAAAAUCACCGUGACUACUAACCGACAGUAUUAUACCCCUUACUACCAUUGGCAUAUACACGUCGAUUUCCACUUGAGUAAUUUAUUCCAACGACUCAGCGAACCUCGGUUAAUCCAUUACGUGGUAACAAACGUCCAUCUUUGUUUCAUACGCCCACCAAUUUGCCAACCAUCAAUUUUGCUAGAACGCGCGCGUACUCCUCUCCCUACUGUUCACAUUUCUCACCAGUAAAGCUUACUCAUGCGCGUGUUUGACACGCACAUAAGCAUUACGCACAAAGCGUUGUUUUAUAUAAAAACAAAAAAAUUACUACUAAGUCAGGUCUUAAAGAGCACAAAGUGUGUACCCCUCAAAGAUACCAACGACUACCCAGGAUUCCUUACAACGUGUUAAAUACCCCUUUUACUUUUUUUUUUCCUUUUCUUGACUUUCAUGAGAAUCAAGAGAGCUCGUGAAGUGUCAUCAAUUAGUCGCUCUUAAAAUGUUCAGAAUCUUCUCGACCACCCGUACUCGAGUAAUUCUCAAAGCACCGUGGUCCAACGUUGCCAUCGCGUAAGGGGGUGCACCGAUCCGGUAAAGAGGGUGGCCGGUAUCCCUGGUACCGACGAACGUAAAACGUCACUCUCCUCGGCCCAUAAAACAGGAGGCAAUUAAAAGGGAUGCCUUUUCGAAAAAUAAAAAAAAUAAGCGGCCCGGUUAAAAGUGUCGAGGGUUUCCCGUUCACACGUGCGUAACCGAGCCGCGGACGCGCAACGACGCCUUUUACAUGAAAAACAAAGAAUCCUCAGAGGGGUGAAGCCGAAGUGCGAGAAAUAGAGAAGAGCAAGAGCAAAUGGAAAAAAGAGAAGAGAGAGAGAGAGAGAAAACAGAGUGACUGAGAGUUCAAGAGAGACGGAUAGUAGAUAAAGGAAUGACGCGAGGACUCGAAACUCUGACAAGAUUUAAAGCCGUCUGAGCAUCCGUGCAUCGGGACGCCGACGUCCACGCUUUGCUGGACGACUCCAAGUGGGCGUUUAUCCUGGGGAUGGGGUUACGACACCGGACGCGAAAUGGCCUGUCUAAUUUGUUAGCAACUCCUCGCGGGUUCGCUACACUAACCUCCAUUAGGAUGGCCCUUGCGCUUUUGCUUCGAAGACCAAAAAGUCCCUCACCUGAUUCAGACCAAUAUGACGUGGCGGUUACUAAUGGUCGCAGACGAUAACUCUCUAGGAACAAGGAUAUAAAGUAUCCAUAGUACUUGAAGAGUGGUUUAUACCAAUUCCAAAAAUGAGCAGGGAGGACCAGUGGCUUUUACAACGUGUUAAGAAGAGUCUACGUAGAAGAAAGAAAAGGAGGACCAAGAGUUUUCCUCUCCGAGCACGAAGAGGGUGUAUCUUGAGUUUCGCGUGUAAAUAUAGCGGCGCGGUAUUUCAAAGAGACACUUUGUAUCGGUAAGGCAAGCACAGUACCAGCCAUAAGAUCAGGGGUCUAUGGAGUGUCGUUAAAAAGCUCGCCACGAUACACCGGUUUCUACGUUUACGAUCCUCACCGGUCUUCCACGUCUCAUAAAGCCCCGAAAUGCUACAAGAUUUUUGACCACGUUUCCUAAGUAGUGCUCUGGACGUGACCUCUGUCCUGGAACAGGAUGAUGGCUCAUUUCCAAGGAGGCGACAAUAUAUUAUCAUCCAAAAUGGUACUGUCACUAUCAAACCCACUGCCAAAUCUCCGCCCUGUCGUUUGACAGUUACCAGCGGAAAUAGUACAAGGAAUUCAAUCAUAUAAGGAAUAUAUAUAUAAUAUUCUAGCUGAUAUGGGAAAAUUCGCAGAAAAAAUAAGAAGAAAAUACAAGGAGAAUAAUAUGAUAAGGUUAAAAGAAGCUCGCUAGACAUCUCAAUUGCCCAAUGAAGAUUCCUGGCUUCGCGCCCCGUGGCUACUGUACGUUUAACUUUAGCCUAACUAAAAGGGCCCAAUUAAAGCGGAUCGUUAACGAGCGUCAAAAUAUCAUUAGCAAGGCUGAUUAGUCACUGAACGAACCUAAUUACCCAAUGAGGAUCCUCGCAUUAUUGAUUAAUACUCCAGCCAAUUAAAUCCUUAAAUACUAAAUUCGUUCUACCGUCAAAUUAUAAUAACUGUCAACUUACGUAAUACCACUAUUACUAUACACAUAGAAUAUAGAAGUUUCUUAUAAUCCAUAGCGUCUUGUCGAUAAAUAAUACAUAAUUAACAAUUCGUCAAUUAACGGUACUAAAAAUGCUUUUAUUAUACUUGUUUACGACUUUCACACGAUUUGCCUCAAUAUUCACGUGUAUAUCUAUAUAUACUGAAAUUUAACUGAACGUAUCUUCGCGUGGUUUCACCCAUUGUCAAUUCUCAUGUCGUGUCAGAAUUAAUCGGAAUGCCUUUGCAGCGCAUGAGAAAUUGGACUUUCUGUUACGGACUCUUAAGGAGAGUCGUGAAUACCUUAAAGUUUGAUUAAGGAUGAAGUAGGAAAAAAAUAAUUUUACAAUUUUAUUACAUGGGCAUGAGGAUCGUUAGUAUCUUGAGAACAGGAAGAAUCCAA
Cephus cinctus (wheat stem sawfly) is the source of this 2673-nucleotide long non-coding RNA. RefSeq lists it as uncharacterized. NCBI's taxonomy places the organism in Eukaryota, Metazoa, Arthropoda, Insecta, Hymenoptera, Cephidae. The transcript has 4 exons. The record is from RefSeq and is a predicted model, not a curated record.